AACUUUUAGCAAUGGAUCUCUCAUCCCUUCAUUACGUGCUGGGAAGCGCUUAUUGGAAACGGUCACACUUGGAAGAGGCCGCGACGGAAUUUCGCCGGGCGAUUGCGCUGGAUUCGCAGCAUUUCAUGGCUCACUACAAGCUUGGAAUGGUUUUGCUCGAACAGAACAACCCGGCGGAUGCACUGAAGGAAUUUCGUGCAGCGCUCAACGGGCAACCAGGUCUGGUCAAUGGUUACCUGGGAGUUGGAAAGUCGCUGUACCAGCAGGGAGAGUACGAAGCAGCGGUCCCGAUACUUCAGCGCUAUGCCGCGCUUGCCCCUGAGGAUCCGACGCCGCACUAUCUCCUCCAGCAGAUUUUCCACCGAUUAAACAAUUCGACUGCCGCGGAGGAACAACUCACUCUCUUUAAGCAUAUCAAUAAGCGGAGGCU
This 430-nucleotide unclassified non-coding RNA is filed under the name uncultured Ascomycota. Its description in RNAcentral is "sequence contains ITS2". The record is from RNAcentral. Lineage: Eukaryota; Fungi; Ascomycota.